This 803-nucleotide ribosomal RNA is filed under the name uncultured bacterium. RNAcentral's name for it is "bacterial SSU rRNA". It matches the Rfam family "Bacterial small subunit ribosomal RNA", at positions 8 to 796 of the family's 1533-position model. The record is from RNAcentral.
AGAGUUUGAUCAUGGCUCAGGACGAACGCUGGCGGCGUGCCUAAUACAUGCAAGUCGAGCGAAUCAAAGGGAGCUUGCUCCCUGAGGUUAGCGGCGGACGGGUGAGUAACACGUGGGCAACCUGCCUAUAAGACUGGGAUAACUUCGGGAAACCGGAGCUAAUACCGGAUAAUUCAUAUCCACUCAUGUGGAUAUGCUGAAAGACGGUUUACGCUGUCACUUAUAGAUGGGCCCGCGGCGCAUUAGCUAGUUGGUGAGGUAACGGCUCACCAAGGCAACGAUGCGUAGCCGACCUGAGAGGGUGAUCGGCCACACUGGGACUGAGACACGGCCCAGACUCCUACGGGAGGCAGCAGUAGGGAAUCUUCCGCAAUGGACGAAAGUCUGACGGAGCAACGCCGCGUGAGUGAUGAAGGUUUUCGGAUCGUAAAACUCUGUUGUUAGGGAAGAACAAGUACGAGAGUAACUGCUCGUACCUUGACGGUACCUAACCAGAAAGCCACGGCUAACUACGUGCCAGCAGCCGCGGUAAUACGUAGGUGGCAAGCGUUGUCCGGAAUUAUUGGGCGUAAAGCGCGCGCAGGCGGUCCUUUAAGUCUGAUGUGAAAGCCCACGGCUCAACCGUGGAGGGUCAUUGGAAACUGGGGGACUUGAGUACAGAAGAGAAGAGGAAUUCCACGUGUAGCGGUGAAAUGCGUAGAGAUGUGGAGGAACACCAGUGGCGAAGGCGACUCUUUGGUCUGUAACUGACGCUGAGGCGCGAAAGCGUGGGGAGCAAACAGGAUUAGAUACCCUAGUAGUCC